UACGUAGGGUGCGAGCGUUAAUCGGAAUUACUGGGCGUAAAGGGCGCGUAGGCGGCCUUCUAAGUCGAACGUGAAAUCCCUGGGCUCAACCCAGGAACUGCGUCCGAUACUGGAAGGCUUGAAUCCGGGAGAGGGGUGCGGAAUUCCAGGUGUAGCGGUGAAAUGCGUAGAUAUCUGGAGGAACACCGGUGGCGAAGGCGGCAUCCUGGACCGGUAUUGACGCUGAGGCGCGAAAGCCAGGGGAGCAAACGGG
Molecule: ribosomal RNA, 253 nt
Filed under: uncultured bacterium
Lineage: Bacteria
Description: partial 16S ribosomal RNA
Rfam family: Bacterial small subunit ribosomal RNA
Source: RNAcentral